This 446-nucleotide ribosomal RNA is filed under the name uncultured bacterium. Its description in RNAcentral is "SSU rRNA". It matches the Rfam family "Bacterial small subunit ribosomal RNA", at positions 26 to 518 of the family's 1533-position model. The record is from RNAcentral.
AGAACGAACGCUGGCGGCAGGCUUAACACAUGCAAGUCGAACGCCCGUAGCAAUACGGGAGUGGCAGACGGGUGAGUAACACGUGGGAACAUACCCUUUGGUACGGAACAACUCGGGGAAACUCGAGCUAAUACCGUAUACGGCCGAGAGGCGAAAGAUUGAUCGCCGAAGGAUUGGCCCGCGUCCGAUUAGCUAGUUGGUGAGGUAAUGGCUCACCAAGGCGACGAUCGGUAGCUGGUCUGAGAGGAUGGCCAGCCACAUUGGGACUGAGACACGGCCCAAACUCCUACGGGAGGCAGCAGUGGGGAAUAUUGGACAAUGGGCGCAAGCCUGAUCCAGCCAUGCCGCGUGAGUGAUGAAGGCCUUAGGGUUGUAAAGCUCUUUCGUCAGGGACGAUAAUGACGGUACCUGAAGAGAAGCCCGGCUAACUUCGCGCCAGCAGCCGC